Molecule: ribosomal RNA, 305 nt
Filed under: uncultured bacterium
Lineage: Bacteria
Description: bacterial SSU rRNA
Rfam family: Bacterial small subunit ribosomal RNA
Source: RNAcentral
AGUGAACGCUGGCGGCGUGCUUAACACAUGCAAGUCGAACGAGAACGGUCCUUCGGGAUGUCAGCUAAGUGGCGGACGGGUGAGUAAUGUAUAGUUAAUCUGCCCUUUAGAGAGGAAUAACUACUGGAAACGGUAGCUAAUACCUCAUACUCCUUUUACCUUGAUGGUAAUUGGGAAACGUUUUUUCGCUAAAGGAUGAGACUAUAUGGUAUCAGGUAGUUGGUGGGGUAAGAGCCUACCAAGCCAAUGACGCCUAGCUGGUCUGAGAGGAUGAUCAGCCACACUGGAACUGAGACACGGUCCAG